CAAUAGCGUAUAUUAAUGUUGUUGCAGUUAAAAAGCUCGUAUUUGGACUUCUGCCCGGAGCGUCCGGUCGUCCCCUCACGGGGUCUGUACUUGGACGUCUUUGGGCAUCCUUGGCGAGAGCGUGUUGGGCAUUAAGUUGUCCGGCGUGGGAUCGCCAUCAUUUACUGUGAAAAAAUUAGAGUGUUUAAAGCAGGCGUUUGCUGUGAAUACAUUAGCAUGGAAUAAUAAGAUAGGACUUUGGUGCUAUUUUGUUGGUUUGUACACCGAAGUAAUGAUUAAUAGGGACAGUUGGGGGCAUUCAUAUUCCAUUGUCAGAGGUGAAAUUCUUGGAUUAACGGAAGAUGAACUACUGCGAAAGCAUCUGCCAAGGAUGUUUUCAUUGAUCAAGAACGAAAGUUAGGGAUCGAAGACGAUCAGAUACCAU
Molecule: ribosomal RNA, 424 nt
Filed under: uncultured eukaryote
Lineage: Eukaryota
Description: bacterial SSU rRNA
Rfam family: Eukaryotic small subunit ribosomal RNA
Source: RNAcentral